RNAcentral lists this non-coding RNA (29 nucleotides) under Rattus norvegicus (Norway rat). Lineage: Eukaryota; Metazoa; Chordata; Mammalia; Rodentia; Muridae. The record is from RNAcentral.
UCCCUAUUGAAAUUUGUUCGUUCCUUCAA